Molecule: ribosomal RNA, 252 nt
Filed under: uncultured bacterium
Lineage: Bacteria
Description: partial 16S ribosomal RNA
Rfam family: Bacterial small subunit ribosomal RNA
Source: RNAcentral
UACAUAGGUCCCGAGCGUUGUCCGGAUUUAUUGGGCGUAAAGCGAGCGCAGGUGGUUUAUUAAGUCUGGUGUAAAAGGCAGUGGCUCAACCAUUGUAUGCAUUGGAAACUGGUAGACUUGAGUGCAAGAGAGGGGAGUGGAAUUCCAUGUGUAGCGGUGAAAUGCGUAGAUAUAUGGAGGAACACCGGUGGCGAAAGCGGCUCUCUGGCCUGUAACUGACACUGAGGCUCGAAAGCGUGGGGAGCAAACAGG